Pseudoliparis swirei is the source of this 611-nucleotide long non-coding RNA. RefSeq lists it as uncharacterized. The transcript has 2 exons. The record is from RefSeq and is a predicted model, not a curated record. Lineage: Eukaryota; Metazoa; Chordata; Actinopteri; Perciformes; Liparidae.
AACGAGGGAGGACCACAUGAGAAGGAUGAAGGACUACAGGACCAGAUGAAGAGCGGCGGUUGCCUUUCUUUUCGUGGGCGGAGGCAGGACUCCUCUGUCUCACUCCCAGCUGGAGGUGAAUGUCAACCAACCCGUCACCUUCAGCAGACCACGACACAAGUCAAUCAGGACCCCCCCCCCCCACCCCUGCCCGUCCACCCAAAUCCCCGACACCGCCCGCCCCGCCCACACAGGAAGCAGCUGUGAAGAAGACGGACGCUUCAGCCUGAACAAGACAUAAUAAUUCUUUCAUUUGUCACAUGGAAUUCUGUAUGUUCAUGUAAACUGUGUACAGUAUUUAGAUUGUUAUCUCCUGAUUUUAAUGAAUACAUUUACCACAUCUAAAUAUGUCUUUUUAUUAAAAACUACUGGGUCAGCAAACACUGUUAUGAUGUUCAUAUUGGGUUAUAAAUUAACUUUAAUGGUUGAGACUUAUGCACUACAAUGUUAUAGUUUUUAUAUUGACAUAUUGUGUUGAUUCUUAAUAAUUAAUGUCAGUAAUAUAUUGUUAGUUUAUGCCAGUGCUCAUUUUUCAUCUUCAUAACAGGUAAACGAUUAAACCCAAAAUUAUA